AGUGAACGCUGGCGGUAGGCCUAACACAUGCAAGUCGAACGGCAGCACAGUAAGAGCUUGCUCUUACGGGUGGCGAGUGGCGGACGGGUGAGGAAUACAUCGGAAUCUACUUUUUCGUGGGGGAUAACGUAGGGAAACUUGCGCUAAUACCGCAUACGACCUACGGGUGAAAGCAGGGGAUCUUCGGACCUUGCGCGACUGAAUGAGCCGAUGUCGGAUUAGCUAGUUGGCGGGGUAAAGGCCCACCAAGGCGACGAUCCGUAGCUGGUCUGAGAGGAUGAUCAGCCACACUGGAACUGAGACACGGUCCAGACUCCUACGGGAGGCAGCAGUGGGGAAUAUCGGACAAUGGGCGCAAGCCUGAUCCAGCCAUACCGCGUGGGUGAAGAAGGCCUUCGGGUUGUAAAGCCCUUUUGUUGGGAAAGAAAAGCAGCAGGUUAAUACCCCGCUGUUCUGACGGUACCCAAAGAAUAAGCACCGGCUAACUUCGUG
RNAcentral lists this ribosomal RNA (492 nucleotides) under uncultured bacterium. RNAcentral's name for it is "partial 16S ribosomal RNA". It matches the Rfam family "Bacterial small subunit ribosomal RNA", at positions 29 to 507 of the family's 1533-position model. The record is from RNAcentral.